This 499-nucleotide ribosomal RNA is filed under the name Megalebias wolterstorffi. RNAcentral's name for it is "Austrolebias wolterstorffi partial 16S ribosomal RNA". It matches the Rfam family "Bacterial large subunit ribosomal RNA", at positions 1830 to 2597 of the family's 2925-position model. Lineage: Eukaryota; Metazoa; Chordata; Actinopteri; Cyprinodontiformes; Rivulidae. The record is from RNAcentral.
CGCCUCUUGCAUACAUAUAAGAGGUCUUGCCUGCCCAGUGACGCAAGUUUAACGGCCGCGGUAUUUUGACCGUGCAAAGGUAGCGUAAUCAAUCGUCUUUUAAAUGGAGACCUGUAUGAAUGGUGAAACGAAAACUCAACUGUCUCAUUCUUUUGACCAAUGAAAUUGAUCUCUCCGUGCGGAAGCGGGGAUAAACUCAUAAGACAAAAAGACCCUGUGGAGCUUUAGAUUUCUGCUUAUAUCUUAGAUUGGGGCGAUCGCGGAGAAAACACACCCUCCAUGAAGAAAUUCAUAAUUGAGAGCUACCGCUCUAAAUAUUAAAAUAUUUAACUUUAUGAACCGGCUUGCCGAUUAACGAACCCAGUUACCCCAGGGAUAACAGCGCAAUCCCCUUAAAGAGCACUUAUCACCAAGGGGGUUUACGACCUCGAUGUUGGAUCAGGACAUCCUAGUGGCGCAUCUACUAUUAAGGGUUCGUUUGUUCAACGAUUAAAGUCCU